RNAcentral lists this ribosomal RNA (637 nucleotides) under Pedicularis kansuensis. Its description in RNAcentral is "eukaryotic LSU rRNA". The stretch from base 239 to 394 matches the Rfam family "5.8S ribosomal RNA". Lineage: Eukaryota; Viridiplantae; Streptophyta; Magnoliopsida; Lamiales; Orobanchaceae. The record is from RNAcentral.
UUGUCGAAUUCCUGCAAAAGCAGACCGCGAACACGUCAAACCAUAUUGGGACCGCGGGACUUGAGGGAGACUUCUUGCCCGCGCCCAUCCCUCGCACGGCGCGCGUCAAGGCGCGCGUGGUGCGGGCUAACGAACCCCGGCGCGGCAUGUGCCAAGGAAAACUCACAGAAGCGUCGGCCUCCCUUUGCCCCGUUCGCGGUGUGCGGAGGGUGAACUGAUGUCUCUCCAAUGUCAUAACGACUCUCGGCAACGGAUAUCUCGGCUCUCGCAUCGAUGAAGAACGUAGCGAAAUGCGAUACUUGGUGUGAAUUGCAGAAUCCCGUGAACCAUCGAGUCUUUGAACGCAAGUUGCGCCCGAAGCCAUUCGGCCGAGGGCACGUCUGCCUGGGCGUCACGCAUCGCGUCGCCUCCCACGCCCACACCCUAAGGGGUGAUCGGGUUGUGGAGGCGGAUAUUGGCCCCCCGUGUGCUAUGCCGCGCGGCCGGCCUAAAUGCGAACCCGUGGCAACUCACGUCACGACCAGUGGUGGUUGAAACACUCAACUCGCGUGCUGUUUGUCGUGCCGUUUCAGUUUGCCGUCGGGCUUCGUCGCAGACCCUAUAGCGCGAUCCUAUCGUGCUUUCGACCGCGACCCCA